AGUAUCUUACGCCUCUCUAUCAAAAUGUGUUUAUUGAUACGCUUUUUACACAGGGUGCUUAUUUGUUGUUAUCGUAGCAAUAAGUAAUCGGCAAAAAGUAUUAACGGCCCAUUCAGUUUGAUUGUCAAUUGCGGGUUUCAUGUUAAGGCAUAGUCAACGACAUCGUCAUAUUCGCUGUCUAUUGAAUACAAAUUCCAAUGCAAUAUAUACAGUUU
This is a long non-coding RNA of Drosophila arizonae, 215 nucleotides long. NCBI's taxonomy places the organism in Eukaryota, Metazoa, Arthropoda, Insecta, Diptera, Drosophilidae. The record is from RefSeq and is a predicted model, not a curated record.